Molecule: transfer RNA, 67 nt
Filed under: Ignavibacteria bacterium GWA2_55_11
Lineage: Bacteria; Pseudomonadati; Ignavibacteriota; Ignavibacteria
Description: tRNA-Thr
Rfam family: tRNA
About the family: Transfer RNA (tRNA) molecules are approximately 80 nucleotides in length. Their secondary structure includes four short double-helical elements and three loops (D, anti-codon, and T loops).
Source: RNAcentral
GCUGGCGUAGCUCAGCUGGUAGAGCAGCUGACUUGUAAUCAGCAGGUCGACGGUUCGAUUCCGCCCG